Molecule: long non-coding RNA, 297 nt
Filed under: Bos taurus (domestic cattle)
Lineage: Eukaryota; Metazoa; Chordata; Mammalia; Artiodactyla; Bovidae
Description: long non-coding RNA NONBTAT013437
Source: RNAcentral
GACAUUUACAAUAUAGACUAGAAAUACCUGCAGAGCCCUAAUGUGUAGCAUGUUUGAUGAACACCACCAGCAGUCUUCCAAACUAAGCAGAGCCAUCCUAGCGAUGGGGUUUUUAUCUCAGGCUGCACAGUGACAUCAUGGCAGUGGGGGAAAGGGCCUAAUUCAUCGAUGAAAAAGAAAUGUAAAGCAGACCCCUUCUUCCAUGUCCUCUGUCAAAGGUAGAUGGAUAGCAAGCAUCCUUGCUACCUGUCAACCAUCUGGCUGCCCUGCCUCCAGCCAUUGUGCAGCCAUCACUGC